UAUGUAGGGUGCGAGCGUUAAUCGGAAUUACUGGGCGUAAAGCGUGCGCAGGCGGUGAUGUAAGACAGGUGUGAAAUCCCCGGGCUUAACCUGGGAAUGGCAUUUGGGACUGCAAGGCUGGAGUGCGGCAGAGGAGACUGGAAUUCCUGGUGUAGCAGUGAAAUGCGUAGAUAUCAGGAGGAAUACCGAUGGCGAAGGCAGGUCUCUGGGCUGACACUGACGCUCAUGCACGAAAGCGUGGGGAGCAAACAGG
This 253-nucleotide ribosomal RNA is filed under the name uncultured bacterium. Its description in RNAcentral is "partial 16S ribosomal RNA". It matches the Rfam family "Bacterial small subunit ribosomal RNA", at positions 524 to 776 of the family's 1533-position model. The record is from RNAcentral.